Molecule: ribosomal RNA, 563 nt
Filed under: uncultured bacterium
Lineage: Bacteria
Description: bacterial SSU rRNA
Rfam family: Bacterial small subunit ribosomal RNA
Source: RNAcentral
UCCUACGGGAGGCAGCAGUGGGGAAUCUUGCGCAAUGGGGGCAACCCUGACGCAGCUAUGCCGCGUGAAUGAUGAAGGCCUUAGGGUUGUAAAGUUCUUUUGCCCGUGACGAUGAUGACGGUAACGGGAGAAUAAGCUCCGGCUAACUUCGUGCCAGCAGCCGCGGUAAUACGAAGGGGGCUAGCGUUGUUCGGAAUUACUGGGCGUAAAGCGCGCGCAGGCGGUUCGAUAAGUUGGGGGUGAAAUCCCUGGGCUCAACCCAGGAAUGGCCUUCAAGACUGUCGAGCUAGAGGACGAGAGAGGUGAGUGGAAUUCCCAGUGUAGAGGUGAAAUUCGUAGAUAUUGGGAAGAACACCGGUGGCGAAGGCGGCUCACUGGCUCGUUCCUGACGCUGAGGCGCGAAAGCGUGGGGAGCAAACAGGAUUAGAUACCCUGGUAGUCCACGCCCUAAACGAUGAGUGCCAGGUGUCGGGAAGCUUAGCUUCUCGGCGCCGCAGCUAACGCCUUAAGCACUCCGCCUGGGGAGUACGGCCGCAAGGUUAAAACUCAAAGGAAUUGACGGA